This 568-nucleotide ribosomal RNA is filed under the name Microcerotermes crassus. RNAcentral describes it as "partial 16S ribosomal RNA". It matches the Rfam family "Bacterial large subunit ribosomal RNA", at positions 1796 to 2621 of the family's 2925-position model. Lineage: Eukaryota; Metazoa; Arthropoda; Insecta; Blattodea; Termitidae. The record is from RNAcentral.
UCGCCUGUUUAACAAAAACAUCUUUUCUUGUUAGUUUUUGAAGUAUGGCCUGCCCACUGACGUUUAUUUAGGUUGAAGGGCCGCGGUAUUUUGACCGUGCAAAGGUAGCAUAAUCAUUAGUUCUUUAAUUGUGAUCUGGUAUGAAUGGCUUGACGAGAUAUGAGCUGUCUUAAGAGUAUUAUUUUAUUGAAUUUAGUUUUUGAGUUAAAAUUCUUAGAUGUUUUUAUGGGACGAGAAGACCCUAUAGAGUUUGACACCUAACUCUUCUUUUUUGUUUUGUUUGAGUUAUUUUUAUGAGUUGAUUAGGUGUUUUGUUGGGGUGAUGAGAGGAAAUAAAUUAACUCCUCUUUGGCUUUAUAUAUUUAUUUAUAUUUGUUUUGAUCCAUUUAUUUUGAUUAUAAGAUUAAAUUACCUUAGGGAUAACAGCGUUAUCUUCCUUGAGAGUUCUUAUUGGCGGGAAGGUUUGCGACCUCGAUGUUGGAUUAAGGUGAAUUUUCGGUGCAGGAGCUGAAAGUGAUUGGGUCUGUUCGACCUUUAAAAUCUUACGUGAUCUGAGUUCAGAACCGGA